This 403-nucleotide ribosomal RNA is filed under the name uncultured bacterium. Its description in RNAcentral is "bacterial SSU rRNA". It matches the Rfam family "Bacterial small subunit ribosomal RNA", at positions 29 to 480 of the family's 1533-position model. The record is from RNAcentral.
AACGAACGCUGGCGGCAGGCCUAACACAUGCAAGUCGAGCGCCCAGCAAUGGGAGCGGCAGACGGGUGAGUAACGCGUGGGAACCUUCCCAAUGGUACGGAAUAGCUCAGGGAAACUUGAGGUAAUACCGAAUAAGCCCGAAAGGGGAAGAUUUAUCGCCAUUGGAUGGGCCCGCGUAGGAUUAGCUAGUUGGUGAGGUAAUGGCUCACCAAGGCGACGAUCCUUAGCUGGUUUGAGAGAAUGACCAGCCACACUGGGACUGAGACACGGCCCAGACUCCUACGGGAGGCAGCAGUGGGGAAUCUUGGACAAUGGGCGCAAGCCUGAUCCAGCCAUGCCGCGUGAGUGACGAAGGUCUUCGGAUUGUAAAGCUCUUUUGCCAGGGACGAUAAUGACGGUACCU